This is an RNA transcript of Abrus precatorius (Indian licorice), 2889 nucleotides long. RefSeq lists it as uncharacterized. The record is from RefSeq and is a predicted model, not a curated record. Lineage: Eukaryota; Viridiplantae; Streptophyta; Magnoliopsida; Fabales; Fabaceae. The transcript is spliced from 9 exons.
GAUCAAUUGGUAAGUAGUUGUAAUGUUUGAAGAAAUACAGACACGACACACACUGCAAUAGCGAUGUCAGAGGUUGAUUUUGAUUUCGAUCAUCAACGACACCCACGCCUCUUCAUCCCCAACUUCCUCUCCCUUCAAGAAUGCAAGGAACUUGAAUUCAUCCACAAGAGUUGCAGCAGCGUGGGUUACAGACCCAAUGUCUUCUCUACCACUCUAUCCCAUCUCAUUGCUACCAACUCUUCCCACUUCAUCAUCCCUUUUAUACUCAUCCGAGAAAGGUUGAAGGACAAGCUAGAGGAGUUUUUCAAAUGUGAGUAUGAGCUCUUUAUUGAAUUCACUGGUUUGAUAAGCUGGAGCAAAGGAGCAAGCAUUGGAUGGCAUAGUGAUGAUAAUAGGCCUUACCUCAAACAACGGCACUUCUCAGCAGUGUGCUAUUUGAAUACUUAUGGGAAGGAUUUCAGUGGUGGACUCUUUCACUUCCAGGAUGGUGAACCAACAUUAAUUAUGCCCAAGGCCGGAGAUGUUGUGAUGUACACAGCUGAUGAACGUAACAUUCAUUCUGUUGAUGAGAUAACUGAAGGAGAAAGACUCACACUUGCUUUAUGGUUCAGUCGUAAUGGUUCCCAUGAUGAGGAUACACAGCUUAUUUCUCUUCUUUCACAACAUCUAUUGCAUAAGAGCGUGGCUGAUUCAUACCUACCUUUGCCAGCAUCCAGUAAUAUGUACUGGUUUUCUCAGGACCAAGCUUCUGAUUACCGUUUUGGUUUUAAUAUAUGUUGGGCUAGACUGCAUGUUCUCGGAUAUGACACAUAUAUUUCUCAAGACAGUAGCUGUAAGUCUGAUGUCUCUGAAUUACUGGUUAAGCCGGUGCGCUUAGUGAGGGGAAAUGAGUUACUUGACCAGGAAUUUGUCAAUAUUUUGCAUGCACUUCAGGUUGUCCAUUUCUACUGUUGGGAAGGUUCUGCUUUACAGACCAAGGUGUCAAAUAUAGACUCCAAGGUAGUAAAACUGACCGAUGUACAGAGAGAGAAAAUCAGUGGGCUAAAUUCUGUACUUUUGAAUGAUGUUGCUUUCGUGUCUAGAGUUUUCCAUGGUAUGCCUUCCAAAGAAAAAGGAUGCAUUUGCUUUGACUGGACAGGAAUUGUGGCUGCAGCUGCUGCUUGGGAAGAUUAUGCAGUGAAGUUAAGCAAACAAAUUCAUUUACAGUUGCCUUACUGGAAAAUGCAUGAAUCAAUAUAUAAUGUGCAAUUAGGCGAGUACGUUUCCCACAAUCGACAAUUCCAAGAAAAAAGUGACUUCUAACAAAUGUGCUAGGGUUUAAAAAUUGGAAAAUGGCAUUGGUAAAGCAACUUUAGACUUGUUUGUGAAGGUCUGCUCUGAUAGCAGUUUUCGAGUCAACAUGGUUUUUGGGGAGUUUUAAGACCAAGCUGCUUAGGGAGAGAUGAGGUAUGGAACUCACGAAUAAGAUAAAUGUAAGUGUUACACAUACUUGAUGUAGAUUGGGUUGUUAGUCUCUUAGCAGUUAGCAUUGGAAGUACCCUGCCAAGUAAAGACAAGUACUCUUGGGUUCUCUUGGGUCCAUAUCUGGUGGCAAAUACUGCAAAGUACUGUAUGCCUUUUUUUUCCUCAAAUUUCUGUUACACGAGUUUGUGUGCAGUAUUACAGUACUGCAAGCUCGUUAAGACUGUUCUAAACAACCCUUCUAUUUUGUAUUUCAUUACAAAUAGUACAUUUAUACCAAAUUUCAGCCUUAGUGAUCUCUCUUUUCAAAAUACAUAGCUGGUGUUAAGGUCCCUUUUAGCUUAUUUGUAUCUAGGCUUGAGGUCUUUGGUUAUGCUCCAUAUAUGCAAAACCUUGCCAUAAAGGUCAUAAAACACAAUAUCUGUAUUGGUUUUGGUGACCUGCACAGACAUGAAUCCUUGCCCAUCAUAAUACAACUUGAGCUCUUCCGGAUUCCACUGGUUGACAUCACCCCUCCAUGCCUUUGAUCCCCCUCCACUUGUUAGAAAUUGGAUUCCACUACAUUGUUUAUGCGAACCACGGAAGCUUCAAUUUCAGAACAGUGGUGAUGUUGAUGCUAACCAUUUAAAAGUAAGACAUGUUUACCUCUUUUUGUCAAUUAUGUGUUCCAAGCAAUGAUCAUGUCCAUUUAUAUAUGCAUCAACAUUGUUUGCCUGGACCAACAACGAAGAAACUGGUUAGAAAUUGUAAAAAUGCAAUGGCUUCAACAACAAUAAUUGUCAUUACCUAGUUACACCAUGUCUCAUCUUUAAAAAAUACUAAGGGGGUACAUUUUGUAUUAGAUUGCAAAGAUAUCUUGGUAUCUUACUAAUCUUGAGAGUGUAAUUGUCAUUACCAUGUGUAAGAGACUAUGCCAUGUAUGUCAAUCAAUUUCAAUUGUCAUGCUAAACACACGACAAAUAUUGAAGACGAGUAUCUGUUGUAUCAAUAUGAGAAUGGCAAGGGACCAAGUGCUCUUAUUUGUUGAAAUGUGGUUCAUUUUAUCAUUUACCUCUAAGAUGGGAACAAGCAGCUCCUCAAGCUCGUGGGUAUUACCAUGAUGCCCAGCACUUUUGAUGGUAUGAUGUCCCACCACCAUCUUCCAUGUAGCCUCUGAUUGUGCCAAUGCUAAAUCAACGUCCUACACGAAGAUCCCAAAAUCAGAGUUGACAAUUUCCCUUCAUUCAAAUGUUCGCAUGUAAUGAAAUGAUAGAGGCUCGGGGCAGUGUAGAUGUCGACGAAUGACUCGUAGAAUGCUGGAUCAUCAUCUCCUGUUAGGCCAUCUUCGUAAAAAUUGUCACCAGUUGAGAUCACGAAAUCUAUAUUUAGUUUCGCCCCCACAAUUCCCAUCUAAAAAACAACCAAUGAGAAUAGUACUACUCUAUAAAC